This 77-nucleotide transfer RNA is filed under the name Alphaproteobacteria bacterium. RNAcentral describes it as "tRNA-Arg". It matches the Rfam family "tRNA". From Rfam's summary of the family: Transfer RNA (tRNA) molecules are approximately 80 nucleotides in length. Their secondary structure includes four short double-helical elements and three loops (D, anti-codon, and T loops). Lineage: Bacteria; Pseudomonadati; Pseudomonadota; Alphaproteobacteria. The record is from RNAcentral.
GGACUGGUAGCUCAGCAGGAUAGAGCACUUGAUUCCUAAUCAAGGGGUCGGGGGUUCAAAUCCCUCCCAGUUCACCA